GUAACAAGGUUUCCGUAGGUGAACCUGCGGAAGGAUCAUUAAAUAAUUUAGAUGGCCUUUGCUAGUUUUCUAGCGAAUGGUUCAUUCUUUUUUACUGUGAACUGUUUUAAUUUUUCAGCGUCUGAGGAAUGUCUUUUAGCCAUAGGGAUAGGCUACUAGAAUGUUAACCGAGCUGAAAGUCAGGCUUAGGCCUGGUAUCCUAUUAAUUAUUUACCAAAAGAAUUCAGUAUUAUAAUUGUAACAUAAGCGUAAAAAACUUAUAAAACAACUUUUAACAACGGAUCUCUUGGUUCUCGCAUCGAUGAAGAACGUAGCAAAGUGCGAUAACUAGUGUGAAUUGCAUAUUCAGUGAAUCAUCGAGUCUUUGAACGCAACUUGCGCUCAAUGGUAUUCCAUUGAGCACGCCUGUUUCAGUAUCAAAAACACCCCACAUUCAUAAUUUUGUUGUGAAUGGAAAUGAGAGUUUCGGCUUUAUUGCUGAAUUCUUUAAAAUUAUUAGGCCUGAACUAUUGUUCUUUCUGCCUGAACAUUUUUUUAAUAUAAAGGAAUGCUCUAGUAAAAAGACUAUCUCUGGGGCCUCCCAAAUAAAUCAUUCUUAAAUUUGAUCUGAAAUCAGGCGGGAUUACCCGCUGAACUUAAGCAUAUCA
RNAcentral lists this unclassified non-coding RNA (647 nucleotides) under Mucor hiemalis. Its description in RNAcentral is "sequence contains 18S rRNA gene, ITS1, 5.8S rRNA gene, ITS2, 28S rRNA gene". The stretch from base 267 to 419 matches the Rfam family "5.8S ribosomal RNA". The record is from RNAcentral. Lineage: Eukaryota; Fungi; Mucoromycota; Mucoromycetes; Mucorales; Mucoraceae.